GCCCGGUUAGCUCAAUGGCAGAGCGUGAGGCUUUUAGAAGGAUAAUAAUCCUACUAGAGGUACCUCAAGGCUGUGGGUUCGACCCCCACAUCGGGCG
Transfer RNA from Aspergillus terreus NIH2624, 97 nucleotides. It matches the Rfam family "tRNA". Rfam says of the family: Transfer RNA (tRNA) molecules are approximately 80 nucleotides in length. Their secondary structure includes four short double-helical elements and three loops (D, anti-codon, and T loops). Lineage: Eukaryota; Fungi; Ascomycota; Eurotiomycetes; Eurotiales; Aspergillaceae. The record is from Rfam.